Long non-coding RNA from Megalobrama amblycephala (Wuchang bream), 1095 nucleotides. RefSeq lists it as uncharacterized. The record is from RefSeq and is a predicted model, not a curated record. NCBI's taxonomy places the organism in Eukaryota, Metazoa, Chordata, Actinopteri, Cypriniformes, Xenocyprididae. The transcript has 5 exons.
CGCACGUAUAUGAAAAACAUCCUUGUCCACACAAAAACCCUGCAUGUAAAGCUGAUGGACUUUGGAGGCGCGCUGCUCGUCGAAGAAAGACGAGAUGCUGAACCUCUAUUAAUCAGUGCAAUCAGAAAAUAUGCUGAAUGGGCAACAACUGAGGACUUACGCAUACUGCUGGAUCUGAUGGUCCCGACAAUAAGUCGUUGCUUUUGGAUGAGACCACGCGUGUCCAAAGAAUGCCUGGAUCUUCUUGAGCACCUUCAUGAUGUAAAGUCACGGAUGACGUUACAGGCUAUGUUGAAGCAUGACUGGUUUAAAAGAAAAACUGAAGCAUAAGAAAAGUUCCCCUGCAUUGGCAGCUCAGGGCCUAUAGUUCAGCUGUAUGGGUCAUCAGCCGGGGACGGUUCACGCUUUAACCCUGGAGCGUGGAUAAGACCACGUGUGUCCAAAGGUUCCCCUGCAUUGGCAGCUCAGGGCCUAUAGCUCAGCUGCGGGGUCAUCAGACUGGGACCCCGGGGACGGUUUACGGCUUUAACCCCGGGACGUUCCCCUUUCACCCCUGCAUGAUGACACUGAUGGCAACUGUCCUCUACUUGUGAACUGUUUGUGUGCCACCAACCUACUCAGAACAUUAUCGCGUCCCACUGAUAGCGGCCUUGUGCGAGCCCCACCUUGCAGCCUGACAGGAAGUGCUGGAGGCUUACAUUUGGACUCCGUUCUUCCAGGCCAGACCACCAUGUUUCAGACAAGCGUCGUGUCAAGCCCAGCCAUUUUCCUGAAUUACUGUGGACAGUGGAUUUCACACAACUUCAGUGUCACACAAUUUAACGCCACACCUUGUACUUGCCUGGAAGCUGGCUUUAAUCAAUCCUUCCUUAGUGAAAAAAUAGCACAAUUUAUUCAAAUGUAAUUUAGUGUAACUAAAUGUAUUUGUGGCACACUGUAAAUUGUUAUACUUAAAGUCUGUUCAAGUGGAUCAACUCAUUUUGUACUAAAUGCAUUUUAGUUGUCCAAAAGCAGUGCUGAAGUUCAGGUUGUAUUAAUUGUAAACUUGAAGUGUGCUAAUGGCAUCAUUAUUGUGUGCUUUUAAUACAUUAAAGU